Molecule: transfer RNA, 6620 nt
Filed under: Drosophila guanche
Lineage: Eukaryota; Metazoa; Arthropoda; Insecta; Diptera; Drosophilidae
Rfam family: tRNA (bases 4634-4707)
Source: RNAcentral
GGUAUGUGCACAGUGGGGCAAUGUUGCUGCGAAGGUAUGUAAAUGUUGGAAGUUCUAAGCAAUCGGAAAUUUGAACAAUAUUCACACUGGUAAACUUAGGUGCCCAGGUUUGGGUAGAUUGCACUGCACUUGCCCCACUGUGCAUACUUGUUGUCUCUGCGGCUAGCUUUUGGGCCAGUGUGGCGGAACUUUUGAGAAACCGAAAACUGGUUUUCGUGCUUGGGCCCAUUGUAGACUCGAAGUCUCUCUGUCUGUUUGUUGCUGGUAUUCUUGGUUUCUUUUUCACUCUGACUCGCGCGUCGUCUCUCUUUGAGCUCUACUUGUUGUUGCCUUGCCGCGCUACUGCUGUGGUUUGCCUUUGUUGCUGUUGCUUUUGCGCUUUUGACUUUGUAACACACUUUUUUUGUGUGUUGAUUUCGCCCGCCGCUGCUGCGCUGCUAUGUGACUUUUGAUUUUAAUAGUUUUUUCGCUGGUUUUUUUCUCAUGUUUUUUUUCAAUGAUUUCGGUUGCUCUUUUUCCACAGUCCACUAACAGUGCAUGCUCUUCUGCGUGUAUGAGAGUGUUUUUUUUAUUUCGUGGGAAUUUCAACGGUUCCCAAAGCCAGCAAAAAGGUCAGGUGUGUCGGUGUAAGAGAAUUUCAAGAUGUUUCUUUGAAUUUACUGUUAUUUACCUGGAACCCAACAUAACCUCACACUGCCUCCCAUGCACCCUCUCUAAUUGGCUAAAAUCGUCUAUUGAACCUAUUAGCAAAGGCACGAGGUACGAAGCAGGGGGCUAGAGAAUCCAAUAAAGCGCAGGGUCGCGCAAAAUGCAGAAAUGGAAGUGCAUCCCACCCAACCCACUACCUUAAGUGGGAAUAGAGUGAUUUCCCGCUAAACUGCACUCAAUGGAGGUGAAACGGAAGCGGUGGAGCAGUAUACGGGAGGCAGAAGAGGGUUGGGCUUCACGCCCCAAUUGAAUGGUUUGACACGCGAGCGAAUCGCAGGCAAAAAAAACCGCUGGCGCAGCGAUGACGAAAAUGUUAAGGAACCAACAACACGAAAUACAUCAGCAACAACAACAAAUGAAAAACUAACACAAAACAGCAACAACGACGAACAGCAGAAAGUUGAAUGACAUAAAACAUCAACUGACCUUCAACUCUGAGACUGAACCUUAGAAAAAAAUGAAUAAUUUUACACUCACCAACAUACAGACACAGCCAAACACACACAUCACACGGCAAGAGAUACAGAGGGAGAAGCAUAGGUAUGCAAAUCUGUAGUGUGAGAGACGACAACGACAAGCAGCGGCAGCGGCGGCGCAUGCAACUUUACAGCUUUUACAACGCUCUUCUCGAGGCUGUCGGCGAGAGCGAGCGUGAGAGAGUGUGGAAUGGGGGAGAGCGAAAACGGCAAAGCGCAGUGAGCCAUGGCGAAAAUUGCUGUUGCAACGAAAUCCCUACACCACCCUUCACUCCCCCAAUACGGACAAACAUACUCCCAUACAGAUGAGCGCCCAAUUGUUCAUGAUACCCAUAUGCACUAGAGAUGGAAGAAUGUGGCGAUGAAUCACGAAACAAGGUGCACUUAUCAUAUAGAUCGGAAACUGUAAAUUAGUUGGAUUAUAGAUGGCAGAUUAUUAUCUUAAACAAAUGAUUGAGUGUUAACAUUUAAUAUGCUACUUUAAUGAACACUCACUACAAAUUGAAUGGUCAGUGUCUAUAAUUGACCUAGAUAUCGACAUGGAUAACCGAUGGAUGCUCAGAGUGGCCCAUCUCUGAGAGAGCAGUGCCGAGCAGAGAGAGUGCAUGUCAUUUGCGAUGACGUAAAUAGCGGCGCGGCCAUACUUUGCCGAUGCUUGCUCUUGCACUUGGCGGCGACUGCGGCGCCAACAGCAACUGCAGCAGCGGCUGCGAAAGGGAACUUUGUCAGGGGCCUGAGAGCCUGCGCCUUGCCGAAGGAGAGCGCCAACUACCCGUGCAACUACAACUAUUACGAAGAGUAGGAGAGAACAGAGUGGCGCGGCGGCCUAUUUCUCGGUGCAUGCUUAUUUUUGGCAGUGGCAGAGCAGCGGCAGAGGUGCAUUCACUCUCGUUUCGACGCUGUCGUUAUUCUUCUUUUCGUUUUUAAAAUAGUUUUGUUUUGUUUUUUAUUUUUGUGGGUUUUGUUUUAGGGCGUUGUACAAUUGAGCAGUUGCAACGGAUACAUCAUGUGAUGACGAGGAGAGAGAGGCAAUGAAAAAGGGAAAGCUUGCACUACGGCGAGGUGAGGUGUGGGAGCGGCUGUUACAAUGUAACGCAUGCAUGACAUUUCCACCUGUGUAAAUGACAUAUGGUAGGUAGGUCAAUUUUUGUUAUUAGAUGAGAUCGCAGAUGGGGUCUGGUCUGGUUAGGCUAGAAGAAAAUGUUGUUUUGAAUAGAUCGAUAACUGUAGCUUGGACUGUUCUAUAAAUUAUUAGCAGUAAUUCAAGUACACAACACAUCGUUUUUAUGUAUAGAUUGAGUGGCUUUGAUAAAUUAUAGUGCAAUUCUACAUUCUUUUCUGAUAUCCCACAGAAGGCAGUUAUUGAAUGAAGCACGAUAUAAAAUCUUAACCGCAGAGCGGAAAACAAUCCCCAAUCAAACCUCAUUGACACGAGUCCUUCAGCAUGCCAGUCCACCUCCUUGUUUUAUUGAUGUUUUAAGCGACAGACAUUUCCUCAUGUUUUAUGCAUGCUACCAGACAAUUCCCCGGACAUUGAAUUCCUUCACUUAAGCGAUGAAUAUGAGGCUGAGGGUGGGGUGAGAAUGGGGGGGACAAGUGUUUAAAAGUUCAAAGCUUUCAAGACUAACACACAAACACACCCCGUUCCGCUGCCAGGGCAAAACGCCCACAUGGACGCCUUGGGGGGCGAGCAUGACGCUGCAUUCCCAGCUGCAUCCUUGACCCAAACAAUGCGCCAAUUUGUGGGCCAAUGGCUGGGGGCGGGGGUGGUGCUGGCAUCUAGGGGUCGGGCAGAGCCUAACGAAGUGAAAAGUUAAGUUGAAUGCAAAGAAAAUCACUGCCGUUAUGGGGGACAGGGGUUGCUGCGGGGCCUGGCAAUGACCAAAUGGAAAGGUCUACCAUCUGCCAGCCAUCAUGGCGACGCUGAGGCAAAGACGCGCCCCCCCCCCCCCCCCCCCCCCCCCCCCCCAGUCUCAGUUUCAGUCUCGACAAGCCGUUAAAUGGAAUUGAAAAUGUUGCAGAAAAUCAAUAAAUUUCACUUGUGCCGCUGCACAAGACUGCCACAAAUUUCAUUUUCAACUUUUGGCACGCCCGCUGUUAGCCAGGUUUACAAAACGUUUCUUAGCUAUUCCCUUUUUUGCCCAUGUUUUAUGGCCUGCAUUAGGUAGUCAGUGCCAGUGACAGUCAGCCCCAGGCCAGACAAGAGCCUAAGAAAGCGCAGACAUACAUAGUUAAGGGAGUGCAAACCCCCAAUAUGAUGUCACGCCGUUGAAGUCAAAGGGGAUGGAGAAAAGACAGGAGUGGCACAAGUCCGACCCAGCAUAAGCGCCAUGGAAAAUUCUGAAUACUCUUUGGCCUAAGACAACACUCGCCAAACAGCCUGUGGUCUGUGGGGCUCAGGUGCGUGAUGGGAAUAGAAACGGAGCCGAAAAGUUUGUUCGCAAUAAGAGCAAAAUUUAAAAUUGAAACCCGCCCCAUGAGAACCAACAGCUGCAGGACGUGGUCUAUCCCCUAGAGUACUCUUAAAACGAGGCAAACAACUUGUAAUGUAACAACCGGAAGUGAGGUGAGAGCUGGAGGGGAAUGCAGCGGAAACGAACAUAGCGACCGGGCCUCCGCUGUCCAUCAUGGCUGUUUCCGUCUAGCAAAUAUUUAACAUUUCAGUACAGAGCUUACUUACCCUUAAAUAAUAGCAAAAUCAAACUAUAAUGAGGCUCCAUAAAAGCAACAAAAAAUCAUUAAAUCAUCGUAUUCUUCUUUGUACAAAACUAGUUUAUGAUUAUGAUACUUCUGCUAAUGACGUCAGUAAUAUACAUAUGAGUGUUCAAGUCAAUGAGCUUGCAUAAAUUAUAAGAGUCUUACUAUAGCCAGAGCGCCCCAACAGAUCUUCGACAAGCUCAAGCACAUCAUUUGUUGAAAGCUCGUAUAAAUGUGAUGAUGGAACAUCAAAUUAUAAGAUACAAACGAUAUUUUUCAAUUUCUAAACAGCCAAGCGGCUUCUAUGUGUCACUAUGCCAAUCGUUCUCAACCGGUCCUGUGGCGCAAUGGAUAACGCGUCUGACUACGGAUCAGAAGAUUCCAGGUUCGACUCCUGGCAGGAUCGCAGAUAUCAACUUUUUUUCAUCUUUCUUUUUUAGCGUUAAAUAUAUUUGAAUGGAAGGUUGCAUUAUCUCUCACAGGCCGCGGUAUUUUCUUGGAAAUGUACAAAAAGAAAUAGCCGCCCCCGGGUGGACUCGAACCACCAACCUUUCGGUUAACAGCCGAACGCGCUAACCAAUUGCGCCACGGAGGCCAUGUAAUAGGUCUAAAUUGUACCUUUAAAAUAGAGUCCUCCAUCAAAGUGUUAAACUUUCGAAAGAAAGGCAGCUCAGGACUACCAUUUCUUUUCAGAUUAUUCUUUGUAGUUUGUUUUCUGAACAAAUUUAGUAGAAUUUAACGAUGUUUCAGCAGCCUCCGUGGCGCAAUUGGUUAGCGCGUUCGGCUGUUAACCGAAAGGUUGGUGGUUCGAGUCCACCCGGGGGCGGAAAUACCUUUUUUGUAAUGUUAAACUAAACCAUAGUUAUGAAAUUAAUUUCCUUGAGCAAAAUGAUAUUAUACAAGAGGGGCAAGCUUUAUCUAUGUGCCAUCUUAGUAAAAAAAUAUGGGCACUUAAACAGAUCUUACAGCAUUUUACGAACUAUUCUUCCAAGUUCUGAAGAAAGUCUCAUAUUUAGAGAGACAUUCGGACAAAAUGAAAAUGUGACGCGGGGUUGUCAUCGGCCUCCGUGGCGCAAUUGGUUAGCGCGUUCGGCUGUUAACCGAAAGGUUGGUGGUUCGAGUCCACCCGGGGGCGGCACAACAUUUUUUUCCAAUUUUUCUGAUUUUUAUUUCGAUAUUAGUAGUGAAGAAGCUCUUCUAUAAAGCAAGCAAAGGUGGAAUCGCGUUAAAGCUGAUAUCAAUCCAAGGUCGCAUUCACGAAACCAGCAGAGCAGCUCGUUGUGUUUUAUGUUUUGCAACUUCCUCUCUUCUACCGCUCCCUUCCUCUUCUGACUACGAUUCCAGUUGUGGAUCCAGUUUGUACAAUAACAUUUUGAGCGCUGGGUCAGUCAGUCCGCUGCGAAUUUAUGCAGUGCAAUGGACUGGAGGCGAUCCUACUGCAUUUAUGUAAAGCGUUUCGUCACGAUUCGCGCUGAAGGAGGAAAUAGCAAAUGAAUUGGAAUCAGCGGAAUCGGCAGAUGGGAUGAUGAGUUGUGUUACAGCCCCUGAAAAACCCUCAGCAUGGUGAAUAAGAAGCGCAGGGAAGGGGAGAGAGAAACUACACAUAUAUUUUUCAUGGCUAGUUUUCUGAAAUCUCACGUCGCCCAAUUAGAACCCUCAUGGCAUACAAAAGCAAUAAUAAAUAACAGCGUCUAAUGGCAACUAUAACAAGUAUGGGCCCACCAUGCAUGCAUACUACAUAUUUAAAUGGGGGUACAGUCCAUAAUAUCAUUGUAAGCCGACUUCGAUAACUUUUGAACAUAAAAAAAGCUGCCUCGAAUCGGUUAGAUGUGGUUAUAUAUUCCUAUAAUCUAUAGAUCUACUCAAGAGUCAAAGCAAUCAUUAGCUAAAAUUAAGUUCCCAUAAAUGUAUACCAUUAUAUAAUUAUUGCAAGCACUGUCUGUAUGCCAUCUUGUUAGCAAGUACAUCAAAAUAUUGCAACGUUUUGUUUUAGCUCUGCCCACAAAUUCGCUUUGAUUGCAGUGCAUUAACCGCAUUUUGCGCCAUAUAAACAAAAUAGUCGACAUCUCAUAUAGGAAACCAUAUCUAUACUAAAUAUACUAUACUGCUAAAUAGUCUCUGUAUAUAUGUAUGUGUGUGUGUGGUUUUAUUUUUAAGGUUAAGUUCAGUCAUUCGCCUCGUUUCGUUUUAUUUGCAUGACAAACAAAACGUUUUUAAUAUUUCGACGUCGUCCGUUGCUGUCGGUUCGGUUAGGUUCGGUUCGGCCAUUCAAAUUUCAAAGUUAUGCAUACGAAGAUUUUUUUUGCAUUUUCUAAACGUGCUUUUAUUUGCAUUUGCAUUUGCCUGCUGGCCCCAACCCCAGCCCCAACCAUAGACCCAGACGAUUAGCCACGGGCUGCGUCAGCUUCUGCCCGCGACAGUAUUUCAUUUCAAUAUGGAAAUAUGUGCUCGUAUUUUCCACAGACUCGAGUAUUGUUUCAGCUCCGUCUUCGGUCUGCCUUCAUUAGGGGACUUUCAGACAAUGCAGCGCCGUUGUAACUGCACUCGGAUCAAAUUCAUGACACGAUUGCCAAGGCCAACUGAUAAAGAUGGAGGAGGAAAACUAAACCAAAACGAAAACGAAAAAAAGCUGUUUCGCCCAACGUGGGGCUCGAACCCACGACCCUGAGAUUAAGAGUCUCAUGCUCUACCGACUGAGCUAGCCGGGCAGUGUAACCUGCGCUGGACAAUAUAUCUUGC